AAAGAUAGAGGAGCAAAUGAUAAGAGUAAAAUUAUUUUAGUUUGACAAACGGAGAAUAAUUUGAAAGGAGAUUUUGCCGAAAUAAAAAUGAAAGUCAAAACAUUUUUAUUGGUAAAUUAGAUAAUAUCUAUUUUACUGUCAUUGAAAUUUCAAUGGAGGGCUAUCAA
RNAcentral lists this non-coding RNA (167 nucleotides) under uncultured Fusobacterium sp. RNAcentral's name for it is "Lysine riboswitch". It matches the Rfam family "Lysine riboswitch aptamer". From Rfam's summary of the family: Riboswitches are metabolite binding domains within certain messenger RNAs that serve as precision sensors for their corresponding targets. The record is from RNAcentral. Lineage: Bacteria; Fusobacteriati; Fusobacteriota; Fusobacteriia; Fusobacteriales; Fusobacteriaceae.